RNAcentral lists this long non-coding RNA (3039 nucleotides) under Homo sapiens (human). Its description in RNAcentral is "PCBP1 antisense RNA 1, transcript variant 26 (PCBP1-AS1)". Lineage: Eukaryota; Metazoa; Chordata; Mammalia; Primates; Hominidae. The record is from RNAcentral.
GUCCCCGGCGUCCGGGCGCCCUGCAUGGAUCCCCCACCCCAGCUCCUGCUCCCCGGCGGCGGCCGGUGGGCAGAAAGACCGAAACCCACUCACGGCCGCCUGCCGAAUCGCGGCUCUGCUGUUUGUGGGGCGUGCUAGAAACGUGGUCCUAAAAAGAAUGGCGUCCAUUUACAUAAUGCUUUGUUUGCGUUUCGCAAGUUUCUUUCGGUUAAAGCCACAGAAACCCCACCUCCUGCCCUUGUGUCGUUUCCACCGCGGCACCCUUUUCCGACAUUAGAAACAAUAGUGUACGCCUGUGGAGGCCUCGUUUGUUCAGGGGCUGCCGGCCAGGGCUUCAGGACGUUUCUGCGGCUUUCCCCGCGCGGCCUGGGCUCCCGCGGCUGCUUUUCGGGCCCAUGGGCGCAGCCACUGCGCCAGGCUCAAGGGGGGCGGCCCCGUCAGGGCCCGCCAUCUUGGAAGGCCUUUUUUGCCGGUUCUUCCCGCUGAGGAAGUGUCGCUCAAGACGCUGGCCUAUGAGUUGUGAUUUCUGCCUUUUCCCCUUCCUCCUUGGGCUAAGCCAGACCAGAAAGGGCCCCGUGCGCAACGUGCUUCACAAUCUCUCAGGGAAAGCGGCUAACGUGGCGCUACUCCGCCUCCCCUGUUCCUUACCCUUGGGGCGGCCGCCAUGUUUCCUGAACACAAAAUGGCGACACGUGGUUAGCAUUCGUCGCCAACGAGAAAUUGGGGUCGGCCCGAAAGCUCUAGAAUGCACCCCUCUUCCUCCCCGGGGCCUUCCACCUCCGCGAGUUUUAUGACUUAAAAAAGCCCACAGGCUGGUCUGAAGGUCGGAGGCCUAAUUUUAACGCGUUUUCCUCCCUUUAAUUUGAAACGGGAACGCGAAUGACUGUAAAAUGUGGGCACAAUAUUUAAUCUCUCGCCUUUUUAAAGCUUAAUAGUGGAUAAUAGGGGGGCAGUAUCAAGGGAUAAUUUGGGUCCCCACAGUACCAAAGCAUUUAGAAACCUCUGUUUAAUUUAAGGAAUGAGAUAAGUUACUGCUUUUCUAGACUUCCUAGCAUGGGCUGUUGUGCUGGAGAGAACGAGAGCUACGAAGAGACUACAGUGCCUCUGACUUUUUCAUAGGACAGUUGGCCGAGGAAGACAAACAUAAAGAUGAAGUGCUUAAUUCAAGGUCACACAAUGUCGGGGAUGGACCUCCAGAUUUCCUUACUGACCUGCAUUAUCUUGUGGAUACCUGAGUGAAUUCCACACCACCCAUUUUAUAGAUGAAACCACUGAGACAUGGAGCAAUUGACUGAGUAGUCACUGCCCCACCCCUGCCUGGAGCCUCACACAUGACUCGCCUCCUCUCAGUGACCACAGGAAAACAAGCUCAGGGCUCCCACUGAUUGUACAUUAUGGUGAGACGUGGUCUUGUAACACAGUGGUUAAGAAUGUGACUUUGGAGCCAGCCUGCUAGGGGCUGAAUUCUGACUCAGCCAUUUACUAACUGUGUGACCUUAGUUCCCUGAGCACAUGCUGUUGAGUAAUCCUGCCUGGACCAGUACUUCCCUCACCCUAGACUUCACCUUCAGUUCCCCUUUAUACCACCUGCUGAAGCUGCCAGCCAGCCUUUUCGACCACCCUCCCUCCCCCAGGGGUGUUUGGCUUCUCAGACCCCAGCCUGAGCUAGUGCCCUUGGCUUCCUAGGGUCUUGCCAGGAAAGCAAAGGAGAACAUGCAUACCGCCAAAGAGUACCUAAUAAUAAGAACUCCCAUCCUGAAUUGUGAUUUAUAGUCAGCAUAGCACAUGUGUCAGGUGAUUAUACUUAGGCUGAUUUUAGCCUUAAUAAUCUGCUUCUGUGAUCCUGUAUGUGGGAAGCCUAGAAAUUUCUCUGUGAUCCUCCUUCCUGGAUCACUAAGAGACAAGUCAAGACAUAGGUCCAUUCUACCACCUGUGUUAAUCUGGGCCUUGUUGAGACCAUUUAAAGAAAGGCGUGAUGCUAGAAGUAAGGUCCAGGCCUCCUGCACACUGUUUCAAGGCUGUGACCAUAGUCAGAUCCUGUUGCUUGAGUCCAAAGAGUUUAAAAUAGUGUUGGAAACCUCCUAGGGAAAAAACAAAAAACAAAACACCACAUCUUCCUGGGUAAGGAAGUGACAUGUGCUGACUAGAGCAGGAGGGGUAGCCAAGGCUCCAAGUUCUAUUCUGGACCUGUUGUUGAUUUGAGGUGUGACAUUCAGCAAUCUGAGCUGAUGUUCUGUAGCUCUGAUUGGUUUCUCAUCUUCUGCAGAGAGAGUGAAAGAGGCUGUGCUUGCAGGGGAAAAGGUGAACACUGGUCUCCUGUCCUUUAGGAGAGCUUCACCAUUACACGUCCUGCCUCUCAUUUGAAUUUCCAGGCUUUUUUAGAGUCUCGCUCUAUUGCCCAGAUUGGAGUGCAGUGGUGUGAUCUCGGCUCACUGCAACCUCUGCCUCUGGGUUUAAGCGAUUCUCUCACCUCAGCCUCCCAAGUAGCUGGAAUUAUAGGUGCGUGCCACCAUGCCUGGCUAAUUUUUGUGUUUUUAGUAGAGACAGGGUUUCACCAUGUUGGCCAGGCUAGUCUCGAACUCCUGACCUCAAGUGAUCCACCCACCUCGGCCUCCCAACCAGGCUUUUUUAAAUGCAGAAACCGCCCGCCCCCAGAGUUAAUAUGGAAACCCAGCAAUGUUGUUUAUGUUUUACUUGAAUUCGUUUCAUCAGAAUUGCAUUCCUUUUAACAGUGUGAUUAGAUCAGCUCUUAGAGGGGAUGGCAGCUUCAGUAGGGUUUAGGAAAGGAAAGGAAUAUUUGUGUGGGGCACACACUUUGGCUUUGAUAGCUUGAGGAUACCAGGUACAUGAUAAUUUAGAUGGAUAACAGAAACUUGUGUCCCUUGAGAGCCAGGCAUGUAUUAGAUGCUUUCAUACAUUAUUUAAUUGUAAUACAAACCAAUAAAGUAUUCCCAUUUUUUGCACAUGGGCAAGCUGAAAGUCAAAGAAGUUAUGUAACUUGCCCAAGGUCACACAGCUAAUAAAAAGGCUGAGCUAGGA